Non-coding RNA from Pelobates cultripes (western spadefoot toad), 889 nucleotides. Lineage: Eukaryota; Metazoa; Chordata; Amphibia; Anura; Pelobatidae. The record is from the annotation of a GenBank genome assembly.
AUGUUCUCAGCUCACUUCCUGGUAGUGCCGCAAUGCAUGCUUACAGCGACCAUGUGUCUGCUACAUACUGGCAUGUCGGAUACAGGGUAGACGGGGCCCGCCUAGGAGUGCAUGGCAGAGCAGCUCACCUUCACAUAUUGGAUGUACUAAUGCAACUUUAUGUUUUGGAUGUGAAAAAACCCCCAGAUAAAUUAGAUCUCACUAUCACACAGAAAUACACAUAGACACAGCAGUCAGCCACGCAGAGGCAUUUGUUCACAGAUUAAGAUAGUCACACUAUAGACACACCUAUUCACAGUAACAUAAGCAACAAAUUCAGGCACACACCGGUGGCAGAAUUAAUGUAGAUACUUCAACGCUAGCUGGGGAUCUAUCUACCGUUUCUCCAUCUUUGGAAUAUUGUAUUUUUGUGCGUUUGAAUGUACACCUUUUUGUAUGGAGUAUGUGAAUGCAGACGUUUAUUUGUAUGUACUGUUGCCAUUUGAAGGCAGUGGUGUGUUUGUAUGUAGUGUUGACCGCACGCGUGCAUUUGCAUGUAGCUUUGGUGGUUGAAUUUGGUGUUGGCAUUUGACUGCAGUGGUGUAUUAUCAAGCCACUCUGGGGAGAUCUCAAACGUGCGGUUCACGCAAGACGACCAAAGACUAUACAUGUCCUGGAGGCAUUUUGCCAUGACGAAUGGGCAGCUUUACCACCUGCAAGAAUUUGGGGCCCUCAUAAACAACAAUUACAAAACACUGCUCUCUGUCAUUGAUGCUAAAGGGAGCAAUGCACAGUAUUAAGAACUAUGGGUAUGCAAACUUUUGAAUGGGGGUCAUUUCAUUUUUUUCUUUGUUGCCAUGUUUUGUUAUAUGAUGGUGCCAUUCUGUUAUAACAUACUGUUGAAUAUAAA